AUUGAACGCUGGCGGCAGGCCUAACACAUGCAAGUCGAGCGGAUGAAGGGAGCUUGCUCCUGGAUUCAGCGGCGGACGGGUGAGUAAUGCCUAGGAAUCUGCCUGGUAGUGGGGGAUAACGUCCGGAAACGGGCGCUAAUACCGCAUACAUCCUGAGGGAGAAAGUGGGGGAUCUUCGGACCUCACGCUAUCAGAUGAGCCUAGGUCGGAUUAGCUAGUCGGUGGGGUAAAGGCCUACCAAGGCGACGAUCCGUAACUGGUCUGAGAGGAUGAUCAGUCACACUGGAACUGAGACACGGUCCAGACUCCUACGGGAGGCAGCAGUGGGGAAUAUUGGACAAAGGGCGAAAGCCUGAUCCAGCCAUGCCGCGUGUGUGAAGAAGGUCUUCGGAUUGUAAAGCACUUUAAGUUGGGAGGAAGGGCAGUAAGUUAAUACCUUGCUGUUUUGACGUUACCAACAGAAUAAGCACCGGCUAACUUCGUG
Molecule: ribosomal RNA, 484 nt
Filed under: uncultured bacterium
Lineage: Bacteria
Description: partial 16S ribosomal RNA
Rfam family: Bacterial small subunit ribosomal RNA
Source: RNAcentral